CAGUAGCCGCGGUAACACGUAGGGUGCAAGCGUUAAUCGGGAUUACUGGGCGUAAAGCGUGCGCAGGCGGUUUGUUAAGACAGAUGUGAAAUCCCCGGGCUCAACCUGGGAACUGCAUUUGUGACUGGCAAGCUAGAGUGUGGCAGAGGGGGGUGGAAUUCCGCGUGUAGCAGUGAAAUGCGUAGAUAUGCGGAGGAACACCGAUGGCGAAGGCAGCCCCCUGGGCCAACACUGACGCUCAUGCACGAAAGCGUGGGGAGCUUACAGGAUUAGAUACCCCGGUAGUCCCUGUCUCUUAUAC
This 301-nucleotide ribosomal RNA is filed under the name uncultured bacterium. RNAcentral describes it as "partial 16S ribosomal RNA". It matches the Rfam family "Bacterial small subunit ribosomal RNA", at positions 509 to 807 of the family's 1533-position model. The record is from RNAcentral.